Leptopilina heterotoma is the source of this 1058-nucleotide long non-coding RNA. RefSeq lists it as uncharacterized. The transcript has 4 exons. The record is from RefSeq and is a predicted model, not a curated record. NCBI's taxonomy places the organism in Eukaryota, Metazoa, Arthropoda, Insecta, Hymenoptera, Figitidae.
AUCAAAACUCCCCGACGAUUCACUGUCACCACCACCGACAUUGCGCCUAGCUUCCGGAAGAACGUGAAGAUUCGUUUUGGAACCGGAAUGGAUUGUACGAUAUUGUUAUAUACACACACACUCCUAUCGAUGGUCGCAGAAAUAGAAACGAGUGAAUAUCUAGAAGGAGAGAGUGAAAACGAGAAAGGCGAUAAAAAGUGAUGAUUGUCAUUACAAAUCACUUUUAUUUUUUGGGAUUUUCAAAAGAAAGUCGACACGCUAAAAGGAAUGCUCCAUUUCAACUCACAAGGCGUUAACAAGGUGCAAUUUGUCAUAAAUGAAACCGAACCCAAUGGAACUAGGAAAACGUUAAAUAAAUUUCUCUUUCUGCAAAAUGCUUUCACUGAAAUUAAGCUUCUGUUCGCAAACGUUUAGAAGUCGAAUAAUUCUCAACUCUUAGACUACUGAUUUCUCUCCAUGUAAUCGGAAAUUGGAUAAAACAAUAAAUGAUGAUACAGCGGAACUUUUAUUGGACUUUUCUAAACAAAUUUUUACAGACAGAAAUACAAAAACGGAUAUUAUCAAACAAUAAACGGAAAAGAGUAGAGAAAAGAGAAGCUUAGAAGAGAAAUGGUGGGUAACAAAAGAAAGGAGAAAAAAGAAAAAUUUAGAGAUUUCAGUUUGAGAUGUUGAUGACAAUGUGAGACACGACAAUGAUAGACGAGAAUGACAAGACACACGAGGUGUCAAAAGGCGUGAACAGACGUUCGGACGAACGUUAAAAGGAUGUAACAAACGCUUAACAUUAUUUGGGUGCGUCUGUUACAUAUAAAAAUAACUUGAUGCGAGUUUCCAGCGAAAAAAGCUGGUGUUAAAUCGGAAUCCCUUGGAAAUGGUGACACGAGCUUUCAAAGAGCAAAAAACGUUGCUUAAUCACAAUUCAGUCGACGCAUAUAUUUAAUCUUCAAAAAUAAGUUCAAAACAACAAACUUUAAAUACUACAUUUAGUAAACAAGAAAAUUUGAAAAAUUAAAGAUUUCGCUUUAAUUUUUAUAAAUAGUUAUUCAUAAGAAAGGAAU